RNAcentral lists this ribosomal RNA (576 nucleotides) under uncultured eukaryote. Its description in RNAcentral is "SSU rRNA". It matches the Rfam family "Eukaryotic small subunit ribosomal RNA", at positions 174 to 758 of the family's 1831-position model. The record is from RNAcentral.
UAAAAACCCCGACUUCGGAAGGGGUGUAUUUAUUAGAUACAAAACCAAUGCCCUUCGGGGCUCUUUGGUGAUUCAUGAUAACUAUACGAAUCGCACGGCCUUGCGCCGGCGAUGGUUCAUUCAAAUUUCUUCCCUAUCAACUUUCGAUGUUUGGGUAUUGGCCAAACAUGGUUGCAACGGGUAACGGAGGGUUAGGGCUCGACCCCGGAGAAGGAGCCUGAGAAACGGCUACUACAUCCAAGGAAGGCAGCAGGCGCGCAAAUUACCCAAUCCCGACUCGGGGAGGUAGUGACAAUAAAUACUGAUACAGGGCCCUUUCGGGCCUUGUAAUUGGAAUGAGUACAAUUUAAAUCCCUUAACGAGGAACAAUUGGAGGGCAAGUCUGGUGCCAGCAGCCGCGGUAAUUCCAGCUCCAAUAGCGUAUAUUAAAGUUGUUGUGGUUAAAAAGCUCGUAGUUGAACCUUGGGCCUGGCUGGCCGGUCCGCCUCACCGCGUGCACUGGUCCGGCCGGGCCUUUUCCUCUGUGGAACCCCAUACCCUUCACUGGGCGUGGCGGGGAAACAGGACAUUUACUUU